GCCAACGGCCAUACCACCCUGAAAGUGCCUGAUCUCGUCUGAUCUCGGAAGCUAAGCAGGGGAGGGCCUGGUUAGUACCUGGAUGGGAGACCGCCUUGGAAUGCCAGUAAUGUAGGCU
Non-coding RNA from Xenopus tropicalis (tropical clawed frog), 118 nucleotides. NCBI's taxonomy places the organism in Eukaryota, Metazoa, Chordata, Amphibia, Anura, Pipidae. The record is from Rfam.